RNAcentral lists this ribosomal RNA (980 nucleotides) under Dothideomycetes sp. genotype css035. RNAcentral's name for it is "eukaryotic LSU rRNA". The stretch from base 453 to 980 matches the Rfam family "Eukaryotic large subunit ribosomal RNA", at positions 1 to 533 of the family's 3401-position model. Lineage: Eukaryota; Fungi; Ascomycota; Dothideomycetes. The record is from RNAcentral.
CAUUACCUAGAGUUGUAGGCUUUGCCUGCUAUCUCUUACCCAUGUCUUUUGAGUACCUUACGUUUCCUCGGUGGGUUCGCCCACCGAUUGGACAAACUUAAACCCUUUGCAGUUGAAAUCAGCGUCUGAAAAAACUUAAUAGUUACAACUUUCAACAACGGAUCUCUUGGUUCUGGCAUCGAUGAAGAACGCAGCGAAAUGCGAUAAGUAGUGUGAAUUGCAGAAUUCAGUGAAUCAUCGAAUCUUUGAACGCACAUUGCGCCCCUUGGUAUUCCAUGGGGCAUGCCUGUUCGAGCGUCAUUUGUACCUUCAAGCUCUGCUUGGUGUUGGGUGUUUGUCUCCUGUAGACUCGCCUUAAAACAAUUGGCAGCCGGCGUAUUGAUUUCGGAGCGCAGUACAUCUCGCGCUUUGCACUCAUAACGACGACAUCCAAAAGUACAUUUUUACACUCUUGACCUCGGAUCAGGUAGGGAUACCCGCUGAACUUAAGCAUAUCAAUAAGCGGAGGAAAAGAAACCAACAGGGAUUGCCCUAGUAACGGCGAGUGAAGCGGCAACAGCUCAAAUUUGAAAUCUGGCGUCUUUGGCGUCCGAGUUGUAAUUUGCAGAGGGCGCUUUGGCAUUGGCAGCGGUCCAAGUUCCUUGGAACAGGACGUCACAGAGGGUGAGAAUCCCGUACGUGGUCGCUAGCCUUUACCGUGUAAAGCCCCUUCGACGAGUCGAGUUGUUUGGGAAUGCAGCUCUAAAUGGGAGGUAAAUUUCUUCUAAAGCUAAAUACUGGCCAGAGACCGAUAGCGCACAAGUAGAGUGAUCGAAAGAUGAAAAGCACUUUGGAAAGAGAGUUAAAAAGCACGUGAAAUUGUUGAAAGGGAAGCGCUUGCAGCCAGACUUGCCUGUAGUUGCUCAUCCGGGUUUUUACCCGGUGCACUCUUCUACGGGCAGGCCAGCAUCAGUUUGGGCGGUUGGAUAAAGGUCUCUGUC